GACGAACGCUGGCGGCGUGGAUUAGGCAUGCAAGUCGAACGGUAGGCAUCCUUUCGGGGAUGUUGAGAGUGGCGAACGGGUGAGUAACGCGUAGGUGAUCUACCUUCAGGUGGGGGACAACCCGGGGAAACCCGGGCUAAUACCGCAUGUGGCUGUAAAGCCAAAGCCGGCCUCUGCAAAUGCUGGUGCCUGGAGCUGAGCCUGCGUCUGAUUAGCUGGAUGGUGGGGUAACGGCCUACCAUGGCGAUGAUAAGUAGGCGGCUUUAACGAGUGGCCGCCCACACUGGGAUUGAGAAACGGCCCAGACUCCUACGGGUGGCAG
This 322-nucleotide ribosomal RNA is filed under the name uncultured Spirochaetota bacterium. RNAcentral describes it as "bacterial SSU rRNA". It matches the Rfam family "Bacterial small subunit ribosomal RNA", at positions 28 to 351 of the family's 1533-position model. Lineage: Bacteria; Pseudomonadati; Spirochaetota. The record is from RNAcentral.